UACAUAUUUCAACAUCUAUGCCAAAUUAAAAGAAAAAAAAUCCACCACUAACUUGAGAACUAAAUAGUACUCCUUCAAUUCUUAAAAAGAUGAGGAAGAUGAUGAAGAGAUUGAUUUUAAAUAUGAGUAUUAAGAGGAUGAAGGUGUAGAAGAAGAUGAAGAAGAUUAUGAUGCUACUUUUGAUGAAGAUUGAAGAGUAAUUAUUUUAUAAUUGCUUGAUUUUAGUUA
This 228-nucleotide unclassified non-coding RNA is filed under the name Hevea brasiliensis (rubber tree). Lineage: Eukaryota; Viridiplantae; Streptophyta; Magnoliopsida; Malpighiales; Euphorbiaceae. The record is from RNAcentral.